This is a small nucleolar RNA of Rattus norvegicus (Norway rat), 165 nucleotides long. Ensembl annotates it as small nucleolar RNA SNORA17. The record is from Ensembl. NCBI's taxonomy places the organism in Eukaryota, Metazoa, Chordata, Mammalia, Rodentia, Muridae.
UCUGCCCCGAGAGCAUUGCCGGUGUGGCUUCUGUGUCACAUGAGCAUCAGUAGGUGGCAGAGAGAAGAAAGGCUGAGAGUGUGUGUGUGUGUGUGUGUGUGUGUGUGUGUGUGUGUGUGUGUGUGUGUGACCUGUGUACAUCUGAAUGGUGACUAGUCUAACAUU